GAGCCCGUGGCUCAGUGGUUAGAGCGCUGGACUUCUGAUUAAGGGGUCGCGGGUUCG
Schistocephalus solidus is the source of this 57-nucleotide non-coding RNA. Lineage: Eukaryota; Metazoa; Platyhelminthes; Cestoda; Diphyllobothriidea; Diphyllobothriidae. The record is from Rfam.